Drosophila subpulchrella is the source of this 574-nucleotide long non-coding RNA. RefSeq lists it as uncharacterized. The transcript has 2 exons. The record is from RefSeq and is a predicted model, not a curated record. NCBI's taxonomy places the organism in Eukaryota, Metazoa, Arthropoda, Insecta, Diptera, Drosophilidae.
CAUCGCACGUGGAAAUUUAAUUACCCAAUUAUUGACCCGCAAACACGUCGACUUUCCGCCGAAAAGCGUAGGAAAAUUUCGAAAAACCAAAGUUUUUUAUAUUCCUUGCGAACUUUUUCAAUUGAAAUGUGAUUUAUUUAUAAUGGCGAACAUUUAAAAUUAAAUUCGUUUAAAAAUAGAUUCGACCGAUUCGGCUAAAUAAACGAAAAAGUCGAUUUAUGACGGGAUUCCUUCGCAGCAACGCCAGCCAUUCGGGCUAAUUUGUAAAUGGCAACUAAUUUGGCCCACAAACAAACAGCGAAUGGAAAUUAAGCUCAAAACUCGAUGCUGAAUGGAUAGUUCUUGCUCUUGAUGGCAUGGGUCAUGGGGAUCAGACGUUCGCCAGUGUGAUACGAAUCCAAAACGGCAUGAUCCUCAGCAUCCAACUUAAAGUCGAAGAUCUUGAUGUUCUCCUCGAUGCGCUUGGGAUUGGAGGACUUUGGCAAUGGGAUGGUUCCAAUCUCAAUCUGGUUGGACAAAUAUUAUCAUAGAUAAAUGUAUGUUGCAUAUAAAUAAAUCUCUUUUCAAAUCCCUA